Long non-coding RNA from Equus quagga, 530 nucleotides. RefSeq lists it as uncharacterized. The record is from RefSeq and is a predicted model, not a curated record. The transcript is spliced from 4 exons. NCBI's taxonomy places the organism in Eukaryota, Metazoa, Chordata, Mammalia, Perissodactyla, Equidae.
CGCAGUUUGGCGUGAGUUGCUAUGGUCACCGGAUGCUUUAGAGCCUUCUAGAAAGCCGUGGGCUCAAAUCUGGCGGGAUUGGAAGUUACAAAGACUCUGAUGGGGCCGUCCUGGUGGUGCAGUGGUUAAGUUCACACGUUCCGCUUUGGCAACCCAGGCUUCGCCAGUUUGGAUCCUGGGCGGACAUGGCACCACUUGGCAAGCCAUGCUAUGAGGAAGAGCCACCAGGGAUUUGUGAGCACAGAAGAAAGGCCGUGCGAGGCAGCUGUCUGCAACCCAAAGAGAGAGGCCUCAGGAGAAAGCAAACCUGCCAGCGCCUUGAUCUUGGACUUCCAGCCUCCAGAACUGUGAUCUCAUGGCAUCUCUAGCCCAGACCUCUCCUGAGCUCCAGGUACAUCUAUCCACCUACCUCCUGGACAGAUAUCUCAAAACUCACCUGGCUUUGGGAAGAUGAAAAAGUUCUGGUGGAGGAUGGUUGUGAUGGCUGCACAACAAUGUGAAUGUAUUUAAUGCCACUGAACUAUACACUA